AUGGCAGGAGUUGGAGCUGGAGCUGGAGCUCGCGGCGGCACAGCGGCUGGGGUCAAGGCCCGUGUUCACGAUCCACCACCCGCACACCGUGUCCAUCUGCACCACCCUCAGCCUGCGGCACAGCCCUCGGCCUGCAGGAUAGAUGGCGGGUUGGAGGCCUGAGCUCCGGGGACAAUGCCCCGACCAUUGAGGUGCUUUUUGUGACACUGGGUGCAGGCGUGAUGGCACUCAGUCACCCACCACACUACAUGAAGCUGCUCAUCCAGGUGGGUCAUGAGCUGAUGCCCCCCACCCUUGGGACCAAUGUGCUAGAGAGGAAGGUCCUCUACCUGCCAAGCUUCUUCACCUAUGCCAAGUACAUUGUGCAAGUGGAUGGUAAGAUAGGGCUGUUCCAAGGCCUGAGCCUCUGACUGAUGUCCAGCACCCUCUCCACUGGGACCCAGGGCAGCAUGAAGAAGGUGUUGCCUCCAGAUGAGAUUGAGCAGGUUUCCAGCAAGAAUGAUAUGAAGACUUCUCUGAAGAAAGUCGUGAAAGAGACCUCCUAUGAGAUGAUGAUACAGUAUGUAUCCUGUAUGUUGGCCCACGCCCUGCAUGUCAUCUCAAUGCGCUGCAUGGUCCAGUUUAUGUGCUGGGAGGGCAAGUACAGCAGUGUGCUGAGCUUCAUUGGAAAGAUAUUUAAAGAGGAUGGGCUGCUGGGAUUCUUUGUUGGCUUAAUCCCUCACCUCCUGGGUGAUGUGGUUAUCUUGUGGGGCUGUAACCUGCUGGCCCACUUCAUCAAUGCCUACCUGGUGGAUGACAGCAUGAGUGACACCCCAGGGGGACUGGGAAAUGACCAGAAUCCAGGUUCCCAGUUUAUCCAGGCCCUGGCCAUCUGGAGCUACACCAAGUUUGUGAUGGGGAUCACAGUGAGCAUGCUGACCUACCCCUUCCUGCUGGUCGGUGACCUCAUGACUGUGAACAACUGCAGGCAGCAGGCAGGGCUCCCCAUUUACUCCCCAGUGUUGAAAUCCUGGAUUCACUGCUGGAAGUACCUGAGUAUACAGGGCCAGCUCUUCUGAGGCUCCAGCCUGCUUUUCCUCCGGGUGUCAUCAGGAUCAUGUUUUGUCCUGGAGUAA
Carlito syrichta (Philippine tarsier) is the source of this 1115-nucleotide RNA transcript. It is a transcript of the gene named mitochondrial carrier homolog 1 pseudogene, with no coding region annotated. NCBI's taxonomy places the organism in Eukaryota, Metazoa, Chordata, Mammalia, Primates, Tarsiidae. The record is from RefSeq and is a predicted model, not a curated record. The transcript has a single exon.